This 433-nucleotide ribosomal RNA is filed under the name uncultured bacterium. RNAcentral describes it as "partial 16S ribosomal RNA". It matches the Rfam family "Bacterial small subunit ribosomal RNA", at positions 29 to 507 of the family's 1533-position model. The record is from RNAcentral.
AACGAACGCUGGCGGCAUGCCUAACACAUGCAAGUCGAACGAGACCUUCGGGUCUAGUGGCGCACGGGUGCGUAACGCGUGGGAAUCUGCCCCUCGGUUGGGAAUAACUGAGAGAAAUUUCAGCUAAUACCUUAUAAUGUCUUCGGACCAAAGAUUUAUCGCCGAGGGAUGAGCCCGCGUAGGAUUAGGUAGUUGGUGGGGUAAUGGCCUACCAAGCCGACGAUCCUUAGCUGGUCUGAGAGGAUGAUCAGCCACACUGGGACUGAGACACGGCCCAGACUCCUACGGGAGGCAGCAGUGGGGAAUAUUGGACAAUGGGCGAAAGCCUGAUCCAGCAAUGCCGCGUGAGUGAUGAAGGCCUUAGGGUUGUAAAGCUCUUUUACCCGGGAUGAUAAUGACAGUACCGGGAGAAUAAGCUCCGGCUAACUCCGUG